Molecule: ribosomal RNA, 944 nt
Filed under: Laurilia sulcata
Lineage: Eukaryota; Fungi; Basidiomycota; Agaricomycetes; Russulales; Bondarzewiaceae
Description: LSU rRNA
Rfam family: Eukaryotic large subunit ribosomal RNA
Source: RNAcentral
GCAUAUCAAUAAGCGGAGGAAAAGAAACUAACAAGGAUUCCCCUAGUAACUGCGAGUGAAGCGGGAAAAGCUCAAAUUUAAAAUCUGGCGGUCUCCGGCCGUCCGAGUUGUAGUCUGGAGAAGCGUUUUCCGCGUCGGACCGUGUACAAGUUUCCUGGAACGGAGCGUCAUAGAGGGUGAGAAUCCCGUCUUUGACACGGACUACCGAUGCUUUGUGAUGCGCUCUCGAAGAGUCGAGUUGUUUGGGAAUGCAGCUCAAAAUGGGUGGUGAAUUCCAUCUAAAGCUAAAUAUUGGCGAGAGACCGAUAGCGAACAAGUACCGUGAGGGAAAGAUGAAAAGCACUUUGGAAAGAGAGUUAAACAGUACGUGAAAUUGUUGAAAGGGAAACGCUUGAAGUCAGUCACGUCUGCCGGGACUCAGCCUUGCAAUCUUGCUUGGUGUACUUUCUGGUGGACGGGCCAGCAUCAAUUUUGACUGCCGGACAAAGGCUAGGGAAAUGUGGCACCUUCGGGUGUGUUAUAGUCCCUGGUCACAUACGGUGGUUGGGAUUGAGGAACUCAGCAUGCCUUUAUGGUCGGGGUUCGCCCACGUUCAUGCUUAGGAUGCUGGCGUAAUGGCUUUAAACGACCCGUCUUGAAACACGGACCAAGGAGUCUAACAUGCCCGCGAGUGUUCGGGUGGAAAACCCGUGCGCGUAAUGAAAGUGAAAGUUGGGGACCUCUGUCGCGGAGGGCACCGACGCCCGGACCAGAACUUCUGUGACGGAUCUGCGGUAGAGCGUGUAUGUUGGGACCCGAAAGAUGGUGAACUAUGCCUGAAUAGGGUGAAGCCAGAGGAAACUCUGGUGGAGGCUCGUAGCGAUUCUGACGUGCAAAUCGAUCGUCAAAUUUGGGUAUAGGGGGCGAAAGACUAAUCGAACCAUCUAGUAGCUGGUUCCUGCCGA